UUGUGUAGUUAAGAGUUUCAGCCAUUCAGUGAUUGUGCAUCUCAGUAUUGUAUUUCAGACUUUGAGUGAUGAGGUGCUUAGUGCUUUUCUCAUGUUCUGAAUUGCAGAUUUGACUCACUUAAUAGUGGCACUGUAUCAUACUUGAGUCAAAAUGUUGGUGUGAAUUUUGUGGAAGGAGAGCCUGAUGUAAUGCCGUGGCAGCCGAACAAUUGAUGAAAACUAAUGGAUCGUGGCAACACAUGGAUGUGUUAAUCAUCUACUUUUUCCAUGACGCAGUGUAACUGUGGACAUUUCGAUCACUGGUAGCUGGAUGGUGUCAAAUUUUCGAAGUGAAGUGGCUGUUAGGCUGUGUAAAAAGUUCGAUGGCCUUAAGAGCUUGCAAACUGUAGACAAGAAGAUCAAGCUGGGCCAAGGUGCAUAUGGAUCUCCAUUUCUGUCUAAGAACAAUUGAAUGACGGAAGGUACGAUUGAUAAAUCGACGAUUACUGACAUUUCCGGUCUACCCAGAGCCGUAGUGCCCGAGUUCAAGGUGAACAAGGGAUACUAAGAGAAUCGAACUGAAGAUAAUGUUAAUGAGAUGGCAGAGGAAGAUGCUAAGUCUACUUCAUAUUGAUUAUUGGGCGGUUGAUUGCUUUAUGAAUUAAAACGGAAAUCAAUUUUUCAUUCUGUCCAUAUUCAAGAAAAACCCAUAAGGUUCAG
This is a long non-coding RNA of Lolium rigidum, 699 nucleotides long. RefSeq lists it as uncharacterized. The record is from RefSeq and is a predicted model, not a curated record. The transcript is spliced from 4 exons. NCBI's taxonomy places the organism in Eukaryota, Viridiplantae, Streptophyta, Magnoliopsida, Poales, Poaceae.